CAAGUGUUACAGGGUCCAGGUUCCUCCACCCCAAGCUAUAUGCUAUUUAUCCAAAUAUAAGGUCAUACAUCAAGAGUAUUCAUACAAAAAAGUUCUUCCAAAACUAAUAUUUAGGAGAGUUCAGUUUAUAGUAAAAAAAUGCAUAUCCGAUUUCCCAUCUUACCAGUGUUAUCCAGUCAUUUGAUGUUUCUACUUCAUGUCUAUUCUAGAAUACACAUUUAACUUCGGUGGAGGAUAUACCAAAUGAAGGUAUGCUAGCUUUUUGAGUUGAAAUGGAAAAAAUACGUCUAGAAAAGAAAAUUCAAGAUGCUAAAAUCAUGCAACUAGAAGAGAAGAUGAGAAGCAUGGAAAGACAACCAAAUAAGGUAAAUUUCUAUCAACUGUAACCUUCAUUUAUUUUGUGGGAUAACCUUUCUGUAUUUCUAUCAUAGGAAAUUUCAGAUCCAAUGGCUACAAGCCUACAAGUUGGCUUGAACCUUCGGUCAUGGACAUAAUUCAAACAGAAAAGUUUGUAUCGUGACACAGUACACAAUAAAAUUCAUCAAAUUUCCCUCCAAAAAUUAUGGUCUCAACUAAUAUUUGUGUUAUGCUAUCAGUAGAGUGUGCUUGCUCCUUCUGUUGAUGGACCCCGACUUGUUAAAAAUGACUACAGAACAAGCCAAGUGGUUUAAAUGGUGCAGAUUUGCAAGCAUCAAACAACCAUUCUGUUCUAGAUAAGGUUUGUCUACUUGAGUACUCUUUGGAACCUGUUAUUGUUGAGGAUUAAUUUGUUACGCUUGCACCUUUUGAAUUUACAUAUACAAUACCCAUAACUUGAUGUGUAUCAUUGUAUCCUAGAACAAAGAAAAUAUGGUUCAUAAUGGUGGCAGUGCACGACCACUAGAAAAAUGUUCUGCUGCACACAAGGUAUCUUCAUAGUCUCAUAUACAAAAUUAUGAUCACACUAUAGUGCUCCCAUGUUUAUGUGUUUACUUGUUGCUAUCAGAAUGUUAUCCAGAACAAAGAAACUUUUGAUUAGAAUUUUAGUGCACGGCAAGGGGAAAUAAAUUCCGUUGCACAUAAGGUAUAUUUGCAUUACCAUAUACACACAGUAUUUUCAAUAUAUAUUGCUUCGAUGGUUAUUAUGUAUCUACUGGUCGUCUUGCUAUCAGACUGAUGUUGAGAACAAAGAAACUUUGCUUGAGAAUGUCAGCACACGCCAGGGAAAACUUAUACUGCAAACAAGCAGGUAUCUUUUCAUAAUCACAUACAAAUUUGUGUGCAAACUAUAGUAUUAGCUUGUUUAUUUGUUUAUUACUUCUUCUUUGCCAUCAUACUAUUGUCCGGAGCAAAAAAAGAACAAAACGUGCUAAUGUAUGCAGUAAGACUGCACAAAGUGGAUUGCUGAGUUGGUUGGGUGUUGUGAACUAUUUGUAAGAGUGCUCAAAUUCAUUUCAUAUGUUCCCUUGUUUUGUUUUUGUUUUUUCAUGGGUGAUGAGGAUGAUUCUUCCAAUGGUAACUUUGAUUUUCUCUAACAGGUAUGAACUAAAGUAUUGUUGAAGAGCCUGAAAAAGGAUGUAGCUCUUUCUACAACUGUAAGUUAUGAUCCUAAAUUCAAACAUGAUGGUGCUGAAAUUAUAAAAGAAUUUUCUGCUGUGCAUAUUGAUGUGGCACUUGUGAAAACUGAAUUUGGUAUGGAGAUGCAAAAACUGCCAUACUCUUGCUAAUGUAGAAAAAAAAACAAAGCUUGCAUGGCAUUCAACCUUUGUACGUGACUAAUAUCUUGCCUCUAUUACUACUUGCAUCAUGUCAAUGCAUUGUGUUAACAGUUCAUUUUGUUUUAUUGUUUGUAGAUUCAAGAGAUAAAUGGACGAGUAUAUGGGUGCGUGGCAAGUAUACUGCAAUGGUGAUGUCAAUGUUUCGGGUCAUGUUGAUGAUGAUGAUGGAUGCUUUGAGUUUCGUUUAUGUUGUAGGAAUGGCAGUCCUGCUGGAUGUUUUUCCUCGGUUAAAUUUUAGUUAAGUUUUCGGGAUGUUGAUGGAUGCUAUCAGUUUAAGUUUUGCUGUCAAGAAAAUAGAUAGAUUAUGCAUCACAUUUGGAUGAUGUUCCUCUUGUAAUAUCCACUAUUGUAAUCCAACAAUUUUAUCUAAUAUAUGAUUUCUUACUCUUGUGAGUAUAUUCUCUUGUUUUUCGUUCACUUGAAAAAC
RNAcentral lists this long non-coding RNA (2184 nucleotides) under Triticum aestivum (bread wheat). RNAcentral describes it as "long non-coding RNA (TAES_LNC006948)". The record is from RNAcentral. Lineage: Eukaryota; Viridiplantae; Streptophyta; Magnoliopsida; Poales; Poaceae.